CCUACGGGAGGCAGCAGUGAGGAAUAUUGGUCAAUGGUCGGGAGACUGAACCAGCCAAGCCGCGUGAGGGAGGAAGGUACAGAGUAUCGUAAACCUCUUUUGUCAGGGAACAAAGACUGGGACGCGUCCCCGGAUGAGUGUACCUGACGAAAAAGCAUCGGCUAACUCCGUUCCAGCAGCCGCGGUAAUACGGGGGAUGCGAGCGUUAUCCGGAUUUAUUGGGUUUAACGGGUGCUCAGGCGGUCUGUUAAGUCAGCGGUCAAAGCCCGGGGGUAAACCCCGGCCCGCCGUUGAAACUGGCAGUCUCGAGUUGGAGAGAAGUAUGCGGAAUGCGCGGUGUAGCGGUGAAAUGCAUAGAUAUCGCGCAGAACUCCGAGUGCGAAGGCAGCAUGCCGGCUCCACACUGACGCUGAGGCACGAAAGCGUGGGUAUCGAACAGGAUUAGAUACCCGAGUAGUC
This 459-nucleotide ribosomal RNA is filed under the name uncultured bacterium. RNAcentral's name for it is "partial 16S ribosomal RNA". It matches the Rfam family "Bacterial small subunit ribosomal RNA", at positions 338 to 795 of the family's 1533-position model. The record is from RNAcentral.